AAUUCUGUUUUCUAUUUGCUUUUUCUUUUCAAAACAAGAGCACAAGCUGUUCAUUAAGAAAAGGAAGAACAACUGGAGGUUAUAUAAGGACAGCUGCUUCUACUCACCAUGUCAACUGAUAAACAGUUAGACAUCUACUGCCCCCAAAAGAAAAUCAAUAUUUAUAGAAGAGCCAGAGUUUCAAAUAUAUGUCCUGGAAGGGAAGAUUGUAUUACUGUGUGCCCCCAUAAUUAUGAUGUAAUCAUCACACCCUGAGAACACAGGUUCUUGCGGAACUCAACUCUGAGUAUCUGGACUGGCUUUCUACUAUAAAGAGAAAUACUUCUAUGCGUGACAUAGUUCCUGACAAUAGCUUCUUGACAUAGAAGAAGCUUGAAGAGAGUGACAAAAAUCCUUCUUAAUCACACAUUUACACAUGCAUUGCCCUCAUUUUUCUUUUGCAUAGUAAUACUGGAUCUUAAUAAGAAGGCUUAUACUGCUUAUUGCCUCUUUAUCUACAAAAGAAGAGUUUUUACAGCCUCAUCUAUACUUUCAAAAACUAGAGCAUGCCAGUUAGAAACCAAACUGGUUUUUCCAAACCAUGUAAUACAUUUUAACAUACAAAAAGAGGAGAGGAAAAAGACGUCAGAUUUAUUUACCUGGGGAUAUGAUAUAGAAGAAAUCUUUAAAUUCAUCCAUCCAAACUUCUGCUAGUCUCCUGUUGUUUUUGUUGAUGACAUGACCAGUGCCACCAGGGAAAGUGUAUGGAGUUGCCUUCCGAAAAACGUGACCAACGUGGGAGCAAGUCACAAUCUCCAGAGAACCUCCACAUUGCCAAAUCUGGGAAAAGGAACAAUCAUCAUAUCACAAUCAUUAUCAACAAUGCAGUAAUAUUUUCUAACAAGAUCUGAAUACUCAACCUCAACAGUGACAUCUCAACCCAAGCCUCUUCUCUGGGAUCCAGACUGUGUAUUCAAACACCAACUUGGUAUCUGCUCUCACAUGUCUCAGACGCACCUGAAUAAACAAGUCUGAAGUGGAA
Long non-coding RNA from Canis lupus familiaris (dog), 1021 nucleotides. RefSeq lists it as uncharacterized. NCBI's taxonomy places the organism in Eukaryota, Metazoa, Chordata, Mammalia, Carnivora, Canidae. The transcript has 5 exons. The record is from RefSeq and is a predicted model, not a curated record.